UACGUAGGUGGCAAGCGUUGUCCGGAUUUAUUGGGUUUAAAGGGUGCGUAGGCGGUCCCUUAAGUCAGUGGUGAAAUACUCUAGCUCAACUAGAGAGGUGCCAUUGAUACUGAGGGACUUGAGUGAAGUCGAAGUAGGCGGAAUUGACGGUGUAGCGGUGAAAUGCUUAGAUAUCGUCAAGAACACCGAUAGUGAAGACAGCUUACUAGACUUAUACUGACGCUGAGGCACGAAAGUGUGGGGAUCAAACAGG
Molecule: ribosomal RNA, 253 nt
Filed under: uncultured bacterium
Lineage: Bacteria
Description: partial 16S ribosomal RNA
Rfam family: Bacterial small subunit ribosomal RNA
Source: RNAcentral